RNAcentral lists this ribosomal RNA (474 nucleotides) under uncultured bacterium. Its description in RNAcentral is "bacterial SSU rRNA". It matches the Rfam family "Bacterial small subunit ribosomal RNA", at positions 34 to 507 of the family's 1533-position model. The record is from RNAcentral.
CGCUGGCGGCGUGCCUAACACAUGCAAGUCAACUUGACUGAAGGAGCAAUCUGACAGUAGAGUGGCGCAAGGGUGCGUAACGCGUAAGUAACUUGCCCCAAGGUAAGGAAUAACGUCGAGAAAUCGGCGCUAAUACCUCAUAAUGCAGCGGAUCCGCAUGGAUAUGUUGUUAAAGGUUUACCGCCUUGGGAUAGGCUUGCGCCUGAUUAGUUAGUUGGUGUGGUAACGGCACACCAAGGCUACGAUCAGUAACUGGUCUGAGAGGAUGAUCAGUCACACUGGAACUGAGACACGGUCCAGACUCCUACGGGAGGCAGCAGUGAGGAAUAUUGGGCAAUGCUCGAAAGAGUGACCCAGCAACGCCGCGUGGAGGAUGAAGGUAUUCUAUAUCGUAAACUCCUGUGAGAGCAGACGAAAGACAGAUUAUUAAUCUGGAUGACUGUAUGCUCAGAGGAAGCCCCGGCUAACUACGUG